GACGAACGCUGGCGGCGUGCUUAACACAUGCAAGUCGAACGGAAAGGCCCUGCUUUUGUGGGGUGCUCGAGUGGCGAACGGGUGAGUAACACGUGAGUAACCUGCCCUUGACUUUGGGAUAACUUCAGGAAACUGGGGCUAAUACCGGAUAGGAGCUCCUGCUGCAUGGUGGGGGUUGGAAAGUUUCGGCGGUUGGGGAUGGACUCGCGGCUUAUCAGCUUGUUGGUGGGGUAGUGGCUUACCAAGGCUUUGACGGGUAGCCGGCCUGGGAGGGUGACCGGCCACAUUGGGACUGCGAUACGGCCCAGACUCGUACGGGAGGCAGCAGUGGGGAAUAUUACACAAUGGGCGGGAGCCUGAUGCAGCGACGCCGCGUGCGGGAUGACGGCCUUCGGGUUAUAAACCGCUUUCGCCUGUGACGAAGCGUGAGUGACGGUAAUGGGUAAAGAAGCACCGGCUAACUACGUG
This 468-nucleotide ribosomal RNA is filed under the name uncultured bacterium. RNAcentral's name for it is "partial 16S ribosomal RNA". It matches the Rfam family "Bacterial small subunit ribosomal RNA", at positions 28 to 507 of the family's 1533-position model. The record is from RNAcentral.